UAUGAUAUGUUUAAUAUGCUCUUUGACUAAGACGUUGACCGAGAUAAUAUAAGACGAUCUCGUUGAUAAACCACGUACGAUAGAAAAAAUUAUAUGAAGUCACGUACAAUAGAAAAAAUUAUAUGAAGUCACGUACGAUAGAAAAAAUUAUACUUUAACACAACUUUUUUCAAUUUAUUUCACAAGUGAUAGUUCAAUAUCGGUUCGAUGGCUAUAUGAUAUAGUUUGAUAGUAGUUCAAUGGUGGUUCAAUAGCUGUAUGAUGCAGUUUGAUAGCUGUACGAUGCAGUUCAAUAUCGGUUCGAUAGCUGUAUAAUACAGUUUGAUAACUGUACGAUGCAGUUCAAUAUCGGUUCGAUAGCUGUAUGAUACAGUUUGAUAGUAGUUCAGUGGUGGUUCAAUAGCUGUAUGAUGCAGUUUGAUAGCUGUACGAUGCAGUUCAAUAUCGGUUUGAUAGCUGUAUGAUACAGUUUGAUAGUAGUUCAAUGGUGGUUCAAUAGCAGUUCAAUAGAUGUGUGAUGCUGUUUGAUAGCGGUUCGAUAGCUGUACAAUGCAGUUUGAUAAUGUAUUAUAUAGAUGUAUGAUAUAAAUGUAAGUUUGGAAUGUUUAAUGUGGUUUUUAUUUCGAACGAGAUGUUAACUGAGACGUUAACCGAGACAGCAUUAUAAAGCUUUGAAAUGAGAAUGCGUGCAGAUAAAAAAAUUCCACAAAGCUGACACGACUUUUUUCAAAUUCAUCUCUCAAGUGAGAGUAACGCACAUCUUUAGUCUACUGCUUCUCGACGGUGCAGUCAGUUCGUGGUAUAUUAAGAGUGAGCUUGUGAAGAAACUUUUUAUCGCAAAUACUACAUGACCAUGCAGAACAUUCAAAUCAUGUAUCCCGUCACCGGUGUAAGUGAUAGUGCAAGUUUAUGUACAUGUGAAGUGUAAAAAAUUAAAUAAUAAUUAUAUUCUGUUUUUUAGUACGUGUGUGUUGAUGGGACGCCGAUCCAGCGUGUUAUAAUUAACAAUGAGCUGCGCGUGAGGGUACCACUUCCUGGCCCUCCAAUAAACAUCCCUUUAGGAGGGCUAUUGUCGGUGCGCUAGUCAACAAGUAAUCAACCAUGGUUGUACCAAGAAGAUAUCCAAAUUAGGGGAUUUAUUAAUAUAAAUGAAAUAUUCUGGACACGAUGGGGGAGAAAUAUGCUAAGAGCGCAGAACGACGACGUUUUGGAACGAUCAUACGGUCAAUUUGGUGAAGCCGACGUAUGGGACUUGCGUCGUCUUUUUGGCAUGCCUCCUCUAAUAGAUAAUAAUAUCGAAAUUUGGGUGUAAAUAUAUAAAUAUAUAAAUAUAUAUAAAUAAAUGAUAAGAAUGAAUAUAAAUACAUAAA
Monomorium pharaonis (pharaoh ant) is the source of this 1370-nucleotide long non-coding RNA. RefSeq lists it as uncharacterized. The record is from RefSeq and is a predicted model, not a curated record. The transcript has 2 exons. Lineage: Eukaryota; Metazoa; Arthropoda; Insecta; Hymenoptera; Formicidae.